This is a long non-coding RNA of Lynx canadensis (Canada lynx), 1100 nucleotides long. RefSeq lists it as uncharacterized. The transcript is spliced from 3 exons. The record is from RefSeq and is a predicted model, not a curated record. Lineage: Eukaryota; Metazoa; Chordata; Mammalia; Carnivora; Felidae.
AAAGAAGUUGAGAGUUAGUAAUAGAGAAGGUUUUCUUACAGGUCCUUCUGACUCUGUGAUAUUGUGAGAUCCCAGUGGGCACCAUAUUAGGUGGCCUUAUCGGACUUCAGGACAUUUUUGAUUAUCAGGUCCUGACUUCUCCAACUGUGAAGUACGCAGGGAUCCUGCAGGAACCUUGUGAAACGAGAUCGGCAUUCAGGAGGCCUGGCUGAGAACCCUGGAGACUAAGUCUUGAAGGCAUAUCCGCCAUGUUGGAAGCAUGUGAGGUGCUCAGGGCUGUUUAAAAGUACAACUCUGGUUUUGUCCCCGUAUCGAUCCCUGGAUGUGGAGUGAGGCACUGUCUAUCUCUCCAGGAUACAGAAUUUAUACCUUGGUGUCUCCUAUUCCCCAAAGAGCUGGUUGCUUACUUGAGGGUUUCACGGUCACUAGAUUCCUUCAGGAUGGCCUCAGUUAUUACGUCUGACAGAUCAUUCCACCUGUGAAGAACUGUAAUGCCCGUGAAUUAAAUCAGAAAGUAAAAAUGACAGGAAAUAUUUAUGUCCUUUCCUCUCUUCAUUCUGAGCCACUCGGGUGCUAGAAACCUCUGUCUCUACAGUGAAUUAACAGACACAUGGAUUUUUCCCUGAUCCAACCACACUGUGUUUUCAGAGUUCCCAGACAGCUGAAUCCAGCGGGAACCAGUGUCAAACUGCUUUCACGGGGACCGUCAUUGCUGGUAUCACGUGGGGGUCACUGUGCAAGCAGAAUCUACAGUGUCUUCCUGCAAAGGUCAGGAACUACUGCAGAGGGAGAGGCUCCGGCUGGGCACCGGGCUGUGCGGCCUCUGUGGUUGCCCAUGUGGAGAAGGAUGUGGGUGGACCCAGACCCGAGCACGGUUCUUGUGCAGCUUCUCCUGGCAACUCUGGUGCUGUGGCUCCAGUCCCAGCAGGCACAGAAGUACACAGCCUCAUCUUCUUGCUCUAAGAAAUUUAUUUUCAAGGUUGCAGUGGAAGUGUGAGCGUUUUUACUUGCCUCAAGUUUGUCGCUCUUCCCUCCUAAAGAAACUCGAACGGGCUGUGUUGAGACGAGUGUCAGAUGUUCUAUCUCUUGAUCUGGCUUCU